UUGACAUCCAGAGAAUUUAGCAGAGAUACUUUAGUGCCUUCGGGAACUCUGAGACAGGUGCUGCAUGGCUGUCGUCAGCUCGUGUUGUGAAAUGUUGGGUUAAGUCCCGNAACGAGCGCAACCCUUAUCCUUUGUUGCCAGCACGUAAUGGUGGGAACUCAAAGGAGACUGCCGGUGAUAAACCGGAGGAAGGUGGGGAUGACGUCAAGUCAUCAUGGCCCUUACGAGUAGGGCUACACACGUGCUACAAUGGCGCAUACAAAGAGAAGCGACCUCGCGAGAGCAAGCGGACCUCAUAAAGUGCGUCGUAGUCCGGAUUGGAGUCUGCAACUCGACUCCAUGAAGUCGGAAUCGCUAGUAAUCGUAAAUCAGAAUGUUACGGUGAAUACGUUCCCGGGCCUUGUACACACCGCCCGUCACACCAUGGGAGUGGGUUGCAAAAGAAGUAGAUAGCUUAACCUUCGGGAGGGCGUUUACCACUUUGUGAUUCAUGACUGGGGUGAAGUCGUAACAAGGUAGGCGUAGUGCU
RNAcentral lists this ribosomal RNA (529 nucleotides) under uncultured bacterium. Its description in RNAcentral is "bacterial SSU rRNA". It matches the Rfam family "Bacterial small subunit ribosomal RNA", at positions 981 to 1509 of the family's 1533-position model. The record is from RNAcentral.